Molecule: ribosomal RNA, 628 nt
Filed under: Ochromonas sp. CCMP1393
Lineage: Eukaryota; Chrysophyceae; Chromulinales; Chromulinaceae
Description: partial Bacterial large subunit ribosomal RNA
Rfam family: Bacterial large subunit ribosomal RNA
Source: RNAcentral
GCAUUUGGUAGAUGCCUUGGCACUAGAAGGCGAUGAAGGACGUAAUACGCUGCGAUAAGCUUCGGGGAGUUGCGAAUAAAUUUUGAUCCGAAGAUUUCCGAAUGGGGAAACCCACCUAAUUUAUUAGGUAUUGUAUAGUGAAUACAUAGCUAUAUGAGGCAAACCCAGCGAACUGAAAUAUCUAAGUAGCUGGAGGAAAGGACAUCAACCGAGACUCCGUUAGUAGUGACGAGCGAACGCGGACCAGGCCAGUGGCAAUCUAUGAAAGAAGCCGAACACGUUGGAAAUCGUGGCAAGAAUGGGUGAUAGCCCCGUAGGCAUAAUGUUCUUGAUUGUCCUCGAGUAGGGCGGGACACGUGAAAUCCUGUCUGAACAUGGGGGGACCACCCUCCAAGCCUAAGUACUCCACAUUGACCGAUAGUGAACCAGUACCGUGAGGGAAAGGUGAAAAGCACCCCAACGAGGGGAGUGAAACAGACCCUGAAACCGGACGCCUACAAACAGUCGGAGCUUCCUUGAGAAGUGACGGCGUACCUUUUGUAUAAUGGGUCAGCGACUUGGUCUUACGAGCAAGCUUAAACCGAUAGGUGUAUGCGCAGCGAAAGCGAGUCUUAAUAGGGCGACAUGU